GACGAACGCUGGCGGCGUGCUUAACACAUGCAAGUCGAACGAUGAAGCUGGAGCUUGCUCCGGUGGAUUAGUGGCGAACGGGUGAGUAACACGUGAGCAAUCUGCCCUUGACUCUGGGAUAACUGCGGGAAACUGUAGCUAAUACCGGAUACUUUCACUGGAAGGCAUCUUCUGGUGAAGAAAGAAUUUCGGUCAAGGAUGAGCUCGCGGCCUAUCAGCUUGUUGGUGAGGUAACGGCUCACCAAGGCGACGACGGGUAGCCGGCCUGAGAGGGUGACCGGCCACACUGGGACUGAGACACGGCCCAGACUCGUACGGGAGGCAGCAGUGGGGAAUAUUGCACAAUGGGCGAAAGCCUGAUGCGGCAACGCCGCGUGAGGGAUGAAGGCCUUCGGGUUGUAAACCUCUUUUAGCAGGGAAGAAGCGAAAGUGACGGUACCUGCAGAAAAAGCACCGGCUAACUACGUGCCAGCAGCCGCGGUAA
Molecule: ribosomal RNA, 484 nt
Filed under: uncultured bacterium
Lineage: Bacteria
Description: partial 16S ribosomal RNA
Rfam family: Bacterial small subunit ribosomal RNA
Source: RNAcentral